GCGCCGAUUUUGAAAAUUUUCAUUCUUUCAUUUGCGCCGAUUUCAUUUUUUUCAUUUGCGCCGAUUUUAUAUUUUUUCCUAAUUGGAUUUACAGGUAAGUUACAGGUAAGUUUAUACUUUUAUAUUGGCUGAGCACAGAGUAUAAAGACAAAUCAAGUGACAUUGCAAUUGGUAAAUGGCUAUCCCAAUGUUUCAGGUUACCAUUCCUUUCCCUAAAUGAAAUCAAUGACUGCUUCACGUUUGACAUUGUCUGACGCUCCGCUCCUUCUGAUGACAAAUGUCAUACAUUCUUAGACAACGUACAAGUACACAUUCCAUAACGGUCAACUAAUGCGUGAUGGCGUCCAUAAAAUUAACGAAGGGAUGAUUUCAACUUCACCAUUUUGAACUCUUGGUUUAAUAGCUUCCCUGUGAGAAAAUGCGAACUCUAGAAAUGCCCCCACCAGUACGUAUGCCAGACAAAGAAAAAGAUGGCCUUCGUUAUUGACAAUUACGCCAAAUAUAGAAGAUGCGAAAUCAUAAGUAAGGAAUAUAUUAGAUGUGUUGCCUAUACAUACUCGGCAAGAACAGAUUUAUGAUUUGAAUGUAUUCCGUUUUUAUGGAUUUGAAUGCUGCACAUAUAUUUU
RNAcentral lists this long non-coding RNA (626 nucleotides) under Mytilus galloprovincialis (Mediterranean mussel). Lineage: Eukaryota; Metazoa; Mollusca; Bivalvia; Mytilida; Mytilidae. The record is from RNAcentral.